RNAcentral lists this signal recognition particle RNA (296 nucleotides) under Cebus imitator (Panamanian white-faced capuchin). RNAcentral's name for it is "Metazoan signal recognition particle RNA (ENSCCAG00000013873.1)". It matches the Rfam family "Metazoan signal recognition particle RNA". Rfam says of the family: The signal recognition particle (SRP) is a universally conserved ribonucleoprotein. It is involved in the co-translational targeting of proteins to membranes. The eukaryotic SRP consists of a 300-nucleotide 7S RNA and six proteins: SRPs 72, 68, 54, 19, 14, and 9. The record is from RNAcentral. Lineage: Eukaryota; Metazoa; Chordata; Mammalia; Primates; Cebidae.
GGGCGCAGUGGCGCAUGCCUGUAGUCCCAGCUACUAGGGAGGCUGAGGUGGGAGGAUCGCUUGACCCCAGGAGUUCUGAGCUGUAGUGUGCUAUGCCAAUCAGGUGUCCGCACUAAGUUCGGCAUCGAUAUAGUGACCUCCCUGGAGCGGGGGACCACCAAGUUGCCUAAGGAGGGGCGAACCAGCCCCGGUCAGAAAUGGAGCAGGUCAAAACUCCCGUGCUGAUCAGUAGUGGGAUCGCGCCUGUGAAUAGCCACUGCACUCCAGCCUGGGCAACGUAGCGAGACCCUGUCUCU